UUCCAGAUCAUCUGGAAACUGGUCC
Molecule: non-coding RNA, 25 nt
Filed under: Mus musculus (house mouse)
Lineage: Eukaryota; Metazoa; Chordata; Mammalia; Rodentia; Muridae
Also listed under: 1 other name
Source: RNAcentral